AUUGAACGCUGGCGGCAGGCCUAACACAUGCAAGUCGAGCGGGGCGGCGGACGGGUGGGUGAUGCCUAGGAAUCUGCCUGGUAGUGGGGGAUAAAGUCCGGAAACGGGCGCUAAUACCACAUACUAUCAGAUGAGCCUAGGUCGGAUUAGCUAGUGGGUGGGGUAGAGGCCUACCAAGGCGACGAUCCGUAACUGGUCUGAGAGGAUGAUCAGUCACACUGGAACUGAGACACGGUCCAGACUCCUACGGGAGGCAGCAGUGGGGAAUAUUGGACAAUGGGCGAAAGCCUGAUCCAGCCAUGCCGCGUGUGUGAAGAAGGUCUUCGGAUUGUAAAGCACUUUAAGUGGGGAGGCGUUACCCACAGAAUAAGCACCGGCUAACUCCGUGCCAGCAGCCGCGGUAAUAC
Molecule: ribosomal RNA, 407 nt
Filed under: uncultured bacterium
Lineage: Bacteria
Description: partial 16S ribosomal RNA
Rfam family: Bacterial small subunit ribosomal RNA
Source: RNAcentral